Molecule: long non-coding RNA, 311 nt
Organism: Sander lucioperca (pikeperch)
Lineage: Eukaryota; Metazoa; Chordata; Actinopteri; Perciformes; Percidae
Exons: 3
Source: RefSeq, a predicted model, not a curated record
CUGUUCUCAAAACUGCAGGCUAACCUAGCACGACAUAAUGAUUACACCUCCUUGGUUGUCUAAAUACAUCCAUCGCUUAUUUAGAUAAUGGUAAUGGUAAGACCUCUUAAGUACAGACUACAUUAUUUACACAAUUCAAAUAUUCUUUUUGCAAUCAGUACAAAUUGUAUGGUCUUUUAUUUCACAUGAAUCCGUUCCACAAGCAAGAAAGCAUUCCAGGACGGAGCGUGUGUCUGGAAGCCCUGUCCGUCAGCAGGUGUCACUGCUUCCACCACCUGCAUAUGAGUCAACACCACACAGGAAACCAGCCA